AGAGAGGAGGGAAGGAGCAGUGGAGGCAGUGAGCUGGGAGCGGCUGAGGCCCUUCCCGCAGAAACUGGGGGCACCGGCGGCGUAGGAGGUGGAGAAGGCGGAGGACGCACGGGCUGGAGGCGGCGGCUGCGACUCGGCGGCGCUGGGAAUCGGAACCGCGGGUGAACUUGGGCGCCACGUUCCGGGCGACGGCCGGGAAACAGGGAGUGGACAUUCGGAAAGAGGGAGAAAACGCAGGGGAGCUCGUCCAUCCGUUGAGGCACAGUUCACUAUGAUCUUACUCGCAUUCAGCUCUGGAAGAAGGUUGGAUUUCGUGCAUCGUUCGGGUGUGUUUUUCUUGCAAACCUUGCUUUGGAUUUUAUGUGCUACAGUCUGCGGAACGGAGCAGUAUUUCAAUGUGGAGGUUUGGUUACAAAAAUACGGCUACCUUCCACCGACUGACCCCAGAAUGUCAGUGCUGCGCUCUGCAGAGACCAUGCAGUCAGCUCUAGCUGCCAUGCAGCAGUUCUAUGGCAUUAACAUGACAGGAAAAGUGGACAGAAACACAAUCGACUGGAUGAAGAAGCCUCGAUGCGGUGUACCAGACCAGACAAGAGGCAGCUCUAAAUUCAACAUUCGUCGAAAGCGCUACGCAUUAACUGGACAGAAAUGGCAACACAAACAUAUCACUUACAGUAUAAAGAACGUAACUCCAAAAGUUGGAGAUCCUGAGACCCGGAGAGCAAUUCGCCGUGCCUUUGAUGUGUGGCAGAAUGUAACUCCUCUAACGUUUGAAGAAGUUCCCUACAGUGAACUAGAAAACGGCAAACGUGAUGUGGAUAUAACCAUCAUUUUUGCUUCUGGUUUUCAUGGAGACAGUUCCCCAUUUGAUGGGGAGGGAGGAUUUUUGGCACAUGCUUAUUUCCCUGGACCCGGAAUUGGAGGCGACACCCAUUUUGAUUCUGAUGAGCCAUGGACACUGGGAAAUCCCAAUCAUGAUGGAAACGAUUUAUUUCUUGUAGCAGUCCAUGAGCUGGGACAUGCUCUAGGACUGGAACAUUCCAACGACCCCACCGCUAUCAUGGCCCCAUUUUAUCAGUACAUGGAAACAGACAACUUCAAGCUUCCUAAUGAUGAUUUACAGGGCAUCCAGAAGAUAUAUGGUCCACCUGACAAGAUCCCUCCACCUACAAGACCUCUACCGACAGUGCCCCCGCACCGAUCUGUUCCUCCAGCAGACCCAAGGAGACAUGACAGGCCCAAACCUCCUCGGCCUCCCACUGGCAGACCCUCCUAUCCAGGAGCCAAACCCAACAUCUGUGAUGGGAACUUCAACACUCUAGCUAUUCUUCGAAGGGAGAUGUUUGUUUUCAAGGACCAGUGGUUUUGGCGAGUGAGAAACAACAGGGUGAUGGAUGGAUACCCAAUGCAAAUUACUUACUUCUGGCGGGGCCUUCCUCCCAGUAUUGAUGCAGUUUAUGAAAACAGUGACGGAAAUUUCGUCUUCUUUAAAGCUUCCUGGAUGACAGUCUUCUGCUAGCUGCCUUCAGAUGAAGAUGUAGAACUCUCAGCUCCUCCUGCACCAUGCCUGUCUGGACACUGCCAUGCUCUACACAGAUGAUAAUGGGCUGAACCUCCAAACCUGCAACAAAUACUGGGUGUUCAAAGACACAACUCUUCAACCUGGUUACCCUCAUGACUUGAUUACCCUUGGGAAUGGAAUCCCCCCUCAUGGUAUUGAUUCUGCCAUAUGGUGGGAAGAUGUUGGCAAAACCUAUUUCUUCAAAGGUGACAGGUAUUGGAGAUAUAGUGAAGAAAUGAAAACCAUGGACCCUGGUUACCCCAAGCCCAUCACCAUCUGGAAGGGGAUCCCUGAAUCACCUCAGGGAGCUUUCGUCCACAAAGAAAAUGGCUUUACCUAUUUCUACAAAGGAAAGGAGUAUUGGAAAUUCAACAAUCAGAUACUCAAAGUAGAACCUGGUUAUCCAAGAUCCAUCCUCAAGGACUUUAUGGGCUGUGAUGGACCAACAGACCGAGAUAAAGAAGGACUCAGCCCACCAGAUGAUGUAGACAUUGUCAUCAAACUGGACAACACAGCCAGCACUGUGAAAGCCAUAGCUAUUGUCAUUCCCUGCAUCUUGGCCUUAUGCCUCCUUGUAUUGGUUUACACUGUGUUCCAGUUCAAGAGGAAAGGAACACCCCGCCACAUACUGUACUGUAAACGCUCUAUGCAAGAGUGGGUGUGAUGUAGGGAUUUCUUUUUUCUUUCUUUUCUGGGAGUUUGUGGUAACUUGAGAUUCAAGACAAGAGCUGUUAUGCUGUUUCCUAGCUAGGAGCAGGCUUGUGGCAGCCUGAUGGAGGCUGACCUUCCAAACCUAGAUGGUUGCUGGUCCUGCACAUGAGUGGAAAUAUAAUCAUGGAGAAGCUUCCGUGAUGCACAGUAUCUGCUGUUCUCCAGUCCUCUGUCUUUCUUUGUCAUUCAGUUCUAGGCCUUUCCUCUGCACGCUCAAUGCCCAGUAAAAUUUCAGGAUUAACUGAAGAAGAGGAAAUAUAGAAGAAAAGUUUCUUCUUAAUUUUUUAAAAAAUACAUUUCCUUCUGAAAUCUGAGCCCAUUUCUGGGAAAGAGAAAGAAAGAGAGAGAAAGAGAGAGAGAGAGAGAAAGAAAAACAAAAAGAGCAAAUCAAAAAACCCAUAGGUUUUUGCUUUAAGGCAAAAGAAGAAAGAGUUUAAAAAACAACAAAAUCCACUAUUGAACUUUCAGGAAAGUGUGAAGAUCCAAAACAGCUUUGUCUCCAAAGAAGAUAGCUCUGUGACCACUAUGGAUAGUCUCCUGCACAUCGUUUUGUCAGGUGGGAGAUCUGGAACACAUGCAGGAUGCUAGACUGUUGGGACAGUCAUUUUCCAACAAACAAGGGGCCAAAAUAUCUGCAAUAUAGUAACAGCCUUAAUAAUACAUGCAUUUUUCGUUUUCUACAGCUGUUCUCAACUAUGUCCACAAUGUAUCAUCACCUCCAUACUCAUAGCUGUGUUCAAACAGGACCUUUCGGUUGUUUUGAAAUAUUUCUGAACCCCCUCCUGCCUCCUGACCCAGAAUCAUUGUGAUGUUCUUCCCAGUUGUGUUAGGCCUUUGUCCCAGGCCGUCCAUUGGUCUGUCAGCAAUACUCCGCGCAAAGCAGAGCAAGAAGUAUUGUGUCUCUGAAGGAAAGAAGGUGAUGGUUAUUUUAUAAGGAUCUGUUACUCUUUAAUACAUCAGUGGAACCCUUUGAGAACUAUCGGACCAGCUUACAGAGUCAGGAUGAUCAGUCUUGCAAUCUGGUCAUUUGUAGAACUGGCCAAAAGGGAAAGCCAUCACAGGUUUCGAGAAGUUCAGAUUUGUAAAGCAUACCUUACAAUCCCAUGUAACUCUUUAAUGACUGACAGUACUGCAUAAAUGCUUUUAUAACAACGAUGAUGUGACUUGCCAAAACUUUUCUGGCAAAUAAAAAAGAUAUUUUGUUAACAGUA
This is an RNA transcript of Mus musculus (house mouse), 3483 nucleotides long. It is a transcript of the gene named matrix metallopeptidase 16, with no coding region annotated. NCBI's taxonomy places the organism in Eukaryota, Metazoa, Chordata, Mammalia, Rodentia, Muridae. The record is from RefSeq and is marked validated. The transcript has 12 exons.